This is a long non-coding RNA of Bombyx mori (domestic silkworm), 939 nucleotides long. RefSeq lists it as uncharacterized. The record is from RefSeq and is a predicted model, not a curated record. The transcript has 4 exons. NCBI's taxonomy places the organism in Eukaryota, Metazoa, Arthropoda, Insecta, Lepidoptera, Bombycidae.
CCCGAUAAAUAUUUCACAAUAUAAAAUUAUAUUUGCUCUCCAAACGGAUUUAUGUAGUCUAGACCAAAACAUUGACUAAUAUUGAUGUUGUACCUGUAACAUGCGCUCCUAAUUUACUGCUCGGCAAAAAAUUUAUUUGCGACACAAUGUAAUAAAUAAAUGACACUUUCGGAGCUUGUGACUUGUCGUAUUUAAUGGAUAGCUGUCGGAGCACCAUGGUUCAGGAACGUGAAUCUCCAUGAUGAUCUGGAACUUGUCUCAUUCACAUAAAAUCGUCGGAUCCCCAUCCACGCAGCGGGUGGGGUAUGUGGGAGUUGAACCUCACUGAAAACUCCUGCCGCUCACAGCCGGCGCCCUACCCCGGACCGGGCUGGAGCCCAGUCGGAGCUAUUGAGACGGCGGGACAGGGCUUACGCAGAGUAUAUUACAUCCAUCCCGACGUCCCCUAGACGUCGGACCAGCGGCUGCCGGUGACACGACCACCGGUUCCCACGGUCGACGGGCUGGGAGUAACAAUAAGGGAUUUUCUCCAAGAGCUGUCUUCGUGUUCUUCGACACAGUACAUACUUAUCACAGCGAAGUUAAACUGAACAGGCUUGAUCCUGAAACUUUUCAAAACCAAUUACGAAACUUAUAUUCGGAGUUAAAAAAUUGGGUAUUUCGGAUGUGAAAUCAGAAAUACUCGGAAUUGGGAACCUACUGCUGAAGCCAAAUCUUCAAUUACAUUGAACUAACUGCGGGAAGGAUAGAAACAGGUUAAGAAAACAAUUCAAUUAUAAUUUCCAAUGAUGUAUACAUACAUCUACAUAUUUACUUCGUAUCGUUUAUUUCCAACUUAAAUUGAAAUUGAGUCAUUCAGCAGAUAAUUCACACAUGUACCUAAGCGUAUGAUUAAAUUUGCAUUUAUAAGCUUAAAAACAUUUUCACAAAACAAUCCAA